UUCCCAGACUCCUACGGGAGGCAGCAGUGGGGAAUAUUGGGCAAUGGGCGCAAGCCUGACCCAGCAACGCCGCGUGAAGGAAGAAGGCUUUCGGGUUGUAAACUUCUUUUGACAGGGAAGAGUAGAGGACGGUACCUGUCGAAUAAGCCACGGCUAACUACGUGCCAGCAGCCGCGGUAAUACGUAGGGGGCAAGCGUUAUCCGGAUUCACUGGGUGUAAAGGGAGCGUAGACGGCGACGCAAGUCUGGAGUGAAAGCCCGGGGCCCAACCCCGGGACUGCUCUGGAAACUGCGUCGCUGGAGUACGGGAGGGGCAGGCGGAAUUCCUGGUGUAGCGGUGAAAUGCGUAGAUAUCAGGAGGAACACCGGCGGCGAAGGCGGCCUGCUGGGCCGUGACUGACGUUGAGGCUCGAGAGCGUGGGGAGCAAACAGGAUUAGAUACCCCGGUA
Molecule: ribosomal RNA, 449 nt
Filed under: uncultured bacterium
Lineage: Bacteria
Description: bacterial SSU rRNA
Rfam family: Bacterial small subunit ribosomal RNA
Source: RNAcentral